Molecule: ribosomal RNA, 233 nt
Filed under: uncultured bacterium
Lineage: Bacteria
Description: partial 16S ribosomal RNA
Rfam family: Bacterial small subunit ribosomal RNA
Source: RNAcentral
UACGAAGGGGGCUAGCGUUGCUCGGAAUCACUGGGCGUAAAGGGUGCGUAGGCGGGUCUUUAAGUCAGGGGUGAAAUCCUGGAGCUCAACUCCAGAACUGCCUUUGAUACUGAGGAUCUUGAGUUCGGGAGAGGUGAGUGGAACUGCGAGUGUAGAGGUGAAAUUCGUAGAUAUUCGCAAAGAACACCAGUGGCGAAGGCGGCUCACUGGCCCGAUACUGACGGCUGAGGCAC